ACGAUGGAGAGUUUGAUCCUGGCUCAGGAUGAACGCUAGCGGCAGGCCUAAUACAUGCAAGUCGGACGGGCAGCAAUG
Molecule: ribosomal RNA, 78 nt
Filed under: Fibrella forsythiae
Lineage: Bacteria; Pseudomonadati; Bacteroidota; Cytophagia; Cytophagales; Spirosomataceae
Description: partial 16S ribosomal RNA
Rfam family: Bacterial small subunit ribosomal RNA
Source: RNAcentral